RNAcentral lists this ribosomal RNA (254 nucleotides) under uncultured bacterium. RNAcentral describes it as "partial 16S ribosomal RNA". It matches the Rfam family "Bacterial small subunit ribosomal RNA", at positions 524 to 776 of the family's 1533-position model. The record is from RNAcentral.
UACGUAGGCAGCGAGCGUUGUUCGGAAUUACUGGGCGUAAAGAGUGUGUAGGCGGUGCUCUAAGUUCGGUGUGAAAUCUCCUGGCUCAACUGGGGAGGGUGCGCCGGAAACUGGAGUGCUUGAGCGUGGGAGAGGAAAGCGGAAUUCCUGGUGUAGCAGUGAAAUUCGUAGAUAUUGGGAAGAACACCGGUGGCGAAGGCGGCGACCUGGUCCGAUACUGACGCUGAGGCGCGAAAGCGUGGGGAGCGAACAGG